RNAcentral lists this microRNA precursor (111 nucleotides) under Dichanthelium oligosanthes. Its description in RNAcentral is "mir-166 microRNA precursor family". It matches the Rfam family "mir-166 microRNA precursor family". Rfam says of the family: This family represents the plant microRNA (miRNA) precursor mir-166. Animal miRNAs are transcribed as ~70nt precursors and subsequently processed by the Dicer enzyme to give a ~22nt product. The record is from Rfam by way of RNAcentral. Lineage: Eukaryota; Viridiplantae; Streptophyta; Magnoliopsida; Poales; Poaceae.
AUUGUGGGGAAUGUUGGCUGGCUCGAGGCAUCCGCGUCGUCCUAGCUUGCAGAUCGUUGCCUGCUGCAGGACAGAUCGAGAGGCGUCGGACCAGGCUUCAUUCCUCGCAAG